This 351-nucleotide ribosomal RNA is filed under the name Triticum aestivum (bread wheat). RNAcentral's name for it is "partial small subunit ribosomal RNA". Lineage: Eukaryota; Viridiplantae; Streptophyta; Magnoliopsida; Poales; Poaceae. The record is from RNAcentral.
AUGGCUGCAACCAAAGGUAAAAGAAUAAAGAGCAAUGCAGUGAGGAUUGUGCUUCCAGUUGUAGGCUCUGGUGUUCUAGUACUCAUAUGCAUCUCCCUUGCAUGGUUAAAAUUCAAAGGCAAGAACAAGAAAGGGACAACGCAAAAGAAUAUAAGGUUGGAGGGUAUGAGUAUCUCCGAUAAAUUUGAAGAAGAAAACUCUCCCCAUGAUCAAGAAUUUCCAUUUGUAAGAUUAGAAGAAAUUGCCUUCACAACCCACAAUUUCUCCGAGACAUGCAUGAUUGGACAGGGAGGCUUUGGUAAAGUAUACAAGGGAAUGUUAGGUGGUCAAGAAGUUGCAACAAGAGGCUAA